This 684-nucleotide long non-coding RNA is filed under the name Phascolarctos cinereus (koala). RNAcentral's name for it is "lncRNA (ENSPCIG00000024829.2)". Lineage: Eukaryota; Metazoa; Chordata; Mammalia; Diprotodontia; Phascolarctidae. The record is from RNAcentral.
UUUCUUCUGAAUUUGCUUUUCUCGGUUUGGUGCUAACCUGGGAAGACUGCUUGAGAGAAAUGACCAUUUUGCAGAUGUGGAUAAAGAGUGUAAUGCCCGUGAUCUGAAGCUGAAUGUCCUGUUUCUAAGUGACCAUAAGCAGCCAAUGAGACCCCAGAGGACAAAAGUAGCAUUCCGUGUUGGCCAUCAACAAACAGAGGCACAGCAUCACCUGGACUUCUCCCAGUGUAAAUGCUGGUCCAAAAAAAAAAGAGGAACCCCAAUUGCAAACAGGACAGAAACAAAGAAGCCAUGGAUGUUUUUGACCGUCAAAGAUACCCACACAGUAUAAAUGCUUCCACUGGGAGGACUCCUAUUCCUCUUACCCCGGAACGAGUGAUGAUGACUCCUCCAGUUCUGGAAGUUAAGUCAACAGUUGAAAACAGGAAUAAUUAUGUUGAUCAAGACUAUGGAGAAGACGCAUUCACUGGGCAGAAGGGAUUAUGACAUAGUCACCCUUGUGGAAGAAAUUAUUAAAUGACAGCUUUAUUUUUCCAAUUCUAAGAUAAAUGACACUAAAGACUUUAUGACAGGGAGUGAUGUCAUUGUCAUAUGUAUCUUAUUUUCAGUAAUGCCAUCUUCCUGGAAUAGUAAUUGAAUAGAGAAUGUUUCCUUUACAUCAAAAAUAUGUGAUUUUUUUUUGUG